CUGGGACCUAGCUCGGGACCGGCCUGGAGAUGGAGUUCGACUGCGAGGGCCUGAGACGGCUGCUUGGCAAGAGCAUGUGAAAUUAAAAGAACCAUUCAAGUUUUAAUGUGCAGAGGAUGAUGGAUUGUCCGAUGGGAAGAAUUGUUCAAGUUAAGAUUCAAACAUAGAGCAUAUUUUUGGUGGCACUGGAAUGAAGGAAAAGAAGAGAGACAAUGGUUUUUUCAAGGGUGAGAGUAGAAUAGUAGAGGAUUUUUUUUUCCCCAUCAGUGCAUAGCAUAGAGUCUGGCACAUAGGUAGCUUAUUAUUAUUAUUACUGUUUGUUUUGAGACGGAGUCUCG
This 338-nucleotide long non-coding RNA is filed under the name Homo sapiens (human). RNAcentral's name for it is "HSALNT0172741". The record is from RNAcentral. Lineage: Eukaryota; Metazoa; Chordata; Mammalia; Primates; Hominidae.